RNAcentral lists this long non-coding RNA (843 nucleotides) under Strigops habroptila (Kakapo). RNAcentral's name for it is "lncRNA (ENSSHBG00005012101.1)". Lineage: Eukaryota; Metazoa; Chordata; Aves; Psittaciformes; Psittacidae. The record is from RNAcentral.
GGGGAGGAAGAAGGGGAAAACAUGAUAGAAGAAGACCUGCAGAUCUCAGAAGCCGCCACUACUACUCUGUCACAAGAUAAACUGGAAGAAAUUGCUGGUUGUCAGGAAUUGACCAGAAUCAGUGACAGUGAUUCCAACAUUUAUCUCCGAAAAAGAUCUCCCAAUACUUCUGAGGAGGAAACCUAUGGUGUAAACGAGCAGAAGAUGAGAGAUACGGGUGAAGAUCCAUUAAUCAUCAGGAAGAAAAAGGACUUGGAAGCAAGUGAGACUCCAGCACCAACUCAUGAAAUUACAAUUGUUGAGCAGCCAGAGCUAUUCUACUUCAUCAUUUUCUUCUGGGUGCUGGCCUACUGCCUUUUACUCCUUCCACAGCUUCUUAGCAACAAAGUUUGAUCUCUAUGAUGUGUAGAGAAGUAACGGAUGGUGGCUGGAUUGCUUUGCGUAUCUGCAUAUGAAUAUGUUCCUUCAGGUGAAGCACAAACAGAAAUGUAGGACCUGGUAUUUGUGUUUAUUAUCAGGUUGUCCUCAAUUCCUCUACUGUUGUGCUAUGACAGUGUCUCAGCACAUUUUAUAUUAUGAUAAUUGUGUAAAUAUAUAUAAAAAUUACCUGAUUUAGUAGACGCAAUUUUGUACAUUUGUGCCUUGCUUUAUAAGAUGCUAAAUAAAACCAGGUAAUUAUCAGUAGAAAUAUAAGCAAUUCAGAGCUCUAGUCUUCAAAAAUGAUUCUUCUGGCUUCAUUUGCUUAUAUAGGGCCUGACAGCUGUGGAAGAGGGGUGGUGUUGACUUGCCCAUGAAUCAGCCCACCUGCAUAGAAAUGUUUUUUCAUGUUUUACAUGGAAUUCU